This 260-nucleotide unclassified non-coding RNA is filed under the name Ascovirgaria occulta. RNAcentral's name for it is "ITS1". Lineage: Eukaryota; Fungi; Ascomycota; Sordariomycetes; Xylariales; Xylariaceae. The record is from RNAcentral.
UGGUGAACCAGCGGAGGGAUCAUUACAGAGUUGUAAAACUCCAAACCCAUGUGAACAUACCUCGUGUUGCCUCGGCGGCGAGCGUAGUGCUCGGGAGGUGCCUACCCGGUACCUACCCUAGAGCUACCCUGGAGCCUCCUACCCUGGAGCUGCGAGGUACCUACCCUGGAGUUACCCGGUAGUAACAUACCCGGUAGCUACCCUGGAGGACAUGCGCAUCCGCCGGAGGACCACUCAAACUCUUGUUUCUGUGUGGCACA